GGCAGAAGGGUUUUGUGGUUAACACACUGACUUUAGCCUCAGGAAUACUGGGUUUGAAUCCCAGUUCUGCUA
RNAcentral lists this transfer RNA (72 nucleotides) under Chelonia mydas (Green sea turtle). It matches the Rfam family "tRNA". From Rfam's summary of the family: Transfer RNA (tRNA) molecules are approximately 80 nucleotides in length. Their secondary structure includes four short double-helical elements and three loops (D, anti-codon, and T loops). Further hydrogen bonds mediate the characteristic L-shaped molecular structure. tRNAs have two regions of fundamental functional importance: the anti-codon, which is responsible for specific mRNA codon recognition, and the 3' end, to which the tRNAs corresponding amino acid is attached (by aminoacyl-tRNA synthetases). tRNAs cope with the degeneracy of the genetic code in two manners: having more than one tRNA (with a specific anti-codon) for a particular amino acid; and 'wobble' base-pairing, i.e. permitting non-standard base-pairing at the 3rd anti-codon position. Lineage: Eukaryota; Metazoa; Chordata; Testudines; Cheloniidae. The record is from Rfam by way of RNAcentral.